GGAGUGACAUCUGAGCUGGGAUCUGAAGGCAGCCAGAGGCUGAGGGUGAAAAAUGUCCAGGCUGAGGGAGCAGAUUAUGCAAAGGCCUAGGGGUGUGUGGGAGAGUGGGAUGUCCCGCAGAGAGCUCAUGUCCACCUGCUAUCCCCUUUGAGACCAGCUUCUUCUUGGGGACUCGGGACCUGUUCUGGGGGCCUUUUCUCACUUCUCCUAUGCCCAGAGACCCGAGCAAGCUGGGCACUUCUCUUAGGUGCUGCAGGCAAAGGGUCUCGGACCAGAAAGACAGGAAAGGCCAUCUUCCUGGACAGAAAGAAUGUCUUUGAUACCAAGUCCUCACUCAGAACACCAGGUUUCUGGCAAGAAAGACCCUGUCCCAGCCUCCCAGGUAGCUGAAAUUAUUGGCAUUUUCCACUGCAUCCGGGUCAGGCCUUCUUGAGUGCUGCCUCCAUCCCAGGCAGGUAGCACCCAGAAUGCCAGCUGCGGGUACAGCCGCGGAGGACGGAAGCAAGGAUCCAUAGACUGGCUGGACACCGUCCAGGCAAGCGCUUCCCUCACCGGGGAGACAUGCUGGGAGGCCUCUCCCCGAGUCGAGGAGGGUGGCGACAGCCCCGAGCCGUGCAGCCCCGCCAGUCGCUAGGUGCGGAUCCCCCUGGAAGCCUGCAGGGAUCAAGACCCUCCAACUCCGAUCUCGGAGACAGCGCCAGGGGAUGCUGCGGCCGGCGCCUAUAAAGCAGGGUCCGCCUAGAACUGCGCCUGGCACGUAGUGGGCGUGCAGUUUCCGUUUGCUGAAUGAACUCGAGGAAAGAAUGAAUGAAUGAAUGAGGUGUCCGGCGGGAGGCGGGGAGGUUGGCGUGAUGUGACGCCCCCUCGCCCCGCGCCGCAGUCCCGGGUACUUCCGCCUCUGUGGACGCGGGUGCCAGACAUGAGAGCCCCCGCUCUAGCUCCUCCUCUGGGCCGCAGAAGAGCUAGCAGGGCAAGCACGGGGGGCCCCCGGAGGUGGCUGGGCUCGGCGGUCUGAGCUGGCGGUAGCCAGUUCCGGGCCGAGCGAGGCGGCGGAGGCGUGGGGUGCGGGGCUCGCGGCCCAGCGCG
Long non-coding RNA from Chinchilla lanigera (long-tailed chinchilla), 1086 nucleotides. RefSeq lists it as uncharacterized. The transcript is spliced from 3 exons. The record is from RefSeq and is a predicted model, not a curated record. NCBI's taxonomy places the organism in Eukaryota, Metazoa, Chordata, Mammalia, Rodentia, Chinchillidae.